CGUAUAUUAACGUUGUUGCAGUUAAAAAGCUCGUAGUUGGAUUUGUGGUUUGUUGCGCGGUCCCAAUGUUAUGUUGGGUGCUGUUGCGAGGAGCCAUCCUUGGGUGGAAUCUGUGUGGCAUUAGGUUGUCGCGCAGGGGAUGCCCAUCGUUUACUGUGAAAAAAUUAGAGUGUUCAAAGCAGGCUUAUGCCGUUGAAUAUAUUAGCAUGGAAUAAUGAGAUAGGACCUUGGUACUAUUUUGUUGGUUUGCGCACCGAGGUAAUGAUUAAUAGGGACAGUUGGGGG
This 285-nucleotide ribosomal RNA is filed under the name uncultured diatom. RNAcentral describes it as "partial 18S ribosomal RNA". It matches the Rfam family "Eukaryotic small subunit ribosomal RNA", at positions 598 to 888 of the family's 1831-position model. Lineage: Eukaryota; Bacillariophyta. The record is from RNAcentral.